GUGAGGAAUAUUGGUCAAUGGCCGCAGGGCUGAACCAGCCAAGUCGCGUGAGGGAUGACGGUCCUAUGGAUUGUAAACCUCUUUUGUCAGGGAGCAAAGGGCGCCACGUGUGGCGUUUUGCGAGUACCUGAAGAAAAAGCAUCGGCUAACUCCGUGCCAGCAGCCGCGGUAAUACGGAGGAUGCGAGCGUUAUCCGGAUUUAUUGGGUUUAAAGGGUGCGCAGGCGGAAUGUCAAGUCAGCGGUAAAAUUUCGGGGCUCAACCCCGUCGUGCCGUUGAAACUGGCGUUCUUGAGUGAGCGAGAAGUAUGCGGAAUGCGUGGUGUAGCGGUGAAAUGCAUAGAUAUCACGCAGAACUCCGAUUGCGAAGGCAGCAUACCGGCGCUCAACUGACGCUCAUGCACGAAAGCGUGGGUAUCGAACAGG
This 424-nucleotide ribosomal RNA is filed under the name uncultured bacterium. Its description in RNAcentral is "bacterial SSU rRNA". It matches the Rfam family "Bacterial small subunit ribosomal RNA", at positions 354 to 776 of the family's 1533-position model. The record is from RNAcentral.